GGAGAGUUAUUCCGUAAGUAGUAGCGGAGCAGACUGUAAAUCUGUUGCUUAGGCUCGGGUGGUGCGACUCCAUCACUCUCCA
Molecule: transfer RNA, 82 nt
Filed under: Enterococcus phage vB_EfaH_EF1TV
Lineage: Duplodnaviria; Heunggongvirae; Uroviricota; Caudoviricetes; Herelleviridae
Also listed under: 8 other names
Description: tRNA-Tyr
Rfam family: tRNA
About the family: Transfer RNA (tRNA) molecules are approximately 80 nucleotides in length.
Source: RNAcentral